CAAUAACAUUCAGUACCCCAAAAUUAUAGUACACAUUUUAUAGCCUAAAAUAAUUUUAUUGGCUAGCCCAAAAGUAUUGUUUUCUGCUUUUUUCUUCAGCAAUUUGAAUUUUUGUUCUGUGAUUCCUUGAUUGAGCUCUUUAGUUUCUCGAUUCUUUGUUUGAUCACAUCGUUCUCGUGAAGAAGCUGAGAUUUCUCUUGCUCCAGUGCCACUAUCUUCUGUUUCAGUGCAGAGGUUUUUGACACAGCACCGGAUUUUCGUCUAUGGAGAUCUCCACCGGUGCAUCAUCAUAAACCUCGUCGUUGGUAAUGUUUUCAUCUGCCAUAGUCAAACCUGAAAAUAGUAAGCAAAAUUGUUAGGAAAAAAAAGCAAAUAAAAUUGCAGUUUACUUCAGCAGCUAAAAUAAUAAAGAUUCUUCUUAGAAUUUGAAAAAAUAAUCCGAAAAAUGAGUAAAUCUGCAACAACGCCAUGGAAGCAACUUCGUCUCAAGUCUCUCACCUCCAAUUCCCAUCUUAAGCAUUCCACCUCCUUUCAACUUGUAAAAUUCCUUUAUUUUUGUUCCAUUUUUUUUCUUAAUGUGUUAUGAAAUCUCCUAUUUAAAGUGAAUGUCUAUAAUUAGAGAGAUUCUAGAGUUCUAUUCNNN
Molecule: long non-coding RNA, 643 nt
Filed under: Nicotiana benthamiana
Lineage: Eukaryota; Viridiplantae; Streptophyta; Magnoliopsida; Solanales; Solanaceae
Description: long non-coding RNA (NBEN_LNC023054)
Source: RNAcentral